This 172-nucleotide ribosomal RNA is filed under the name uncultured bacterium. Its description in RNAcentral is "partial 16S ribosomal RNA". It matches the Rfam family "Bacterial small subunit ribosomal RNA", at positions 1320 to 1500 of the family's 1533-position model. The record is from RNAcentral.
AUGAAGCUGGAUUCGCUAGUAAUCGCGCAUCAGCCACGGCGCGGUGAAUACGUUCCCGGGCCUUGUACACACCGCCCGUCAAGCCAUGGAAGCCGGGAGUGCCUGAAGUACGCGACCGCAAGGAGCGUCCUAAGGUAAAACCGGUGACUGGGCUAAGUCGUAACAAGGUAAC